Molecule: ribosomal RNA, 304 nt
Filed under: uncultured bacterium
Lineage: Bacteria
Description: bacterial SSU rRNA
Rfam family: Bacterial small subunit ribosomal RNA
Source: RNAcentral
GCGCCUAACACAUGCAAGUCGCACGAGAAAGGGCUUCGGCCCCGGUAAAGUGGCGCACGGGUGAGUAACACGUGGGUAAUGUUCCCUCGGGCGGGGGAUAACCUUCCGAAAGGAGGGCUAAUACCGCAUAAGACCACGGCCUCGAAAGGGGCUGAGGUCAAAGCAGGCCUCUUCAUGAAAGCUUGCACCUGAGGAUCAGCCCGCGGCCCAUCAGCUAGUUGGCAGGGUAAAAGCCUACCAAGGCUAAGACGGGUAGCUGGUCUGAGAGGAUGAUCAGCCACACUGGAACUGAGACACGGUCCAG